UACAAGGUGCUGCAUGGUUGUCGUCAGCUCGUGCCGUGAGGUGUCGGGUUAAGUCCCACUAACGAGCGCAACCCCUACUCUAUUAGUUGCCAUCAGGUCAAGCUGGGGACUCUAAUGAAACUGCCUACGCAAGUAGGUGAGGAAGGUGGGGAUGACGUCAAAUCAGCACGGCCCUUACGUCCAGGGCUACACACGUGCUACAAUGGCCGGUACAAAGGGCAGCUACCUGGUGACAGGAUGCUAAAUCUCAAAAGCCGGUCUCAGUUCGGAUCGGAGUCUGCAACCCGACUCCGUGAAGCUGGAAUCGCUAGUAAUCGCGCAUCAGCCAUGGCGCGGUGAAUACGUUCCCGGGCCUU
Molecule: ribosomal RNA, 356 nt
Filed under: uncultured Sphingobacteriales bacterium
Lineage: Bacteria; Pseudomonadati; Bacteroidota; Sphingobacteriia; Sphingobacteriales
Description: bacterial SSU rRNA
Rfam family: Bacterial small subunit ribosomal RNA
Source: RNAcentral